UAACAAGGAUUCCCCUAGUAACUGCGAGUGAAGCGGGAAAAGCUCAAAUUUAAAAUCUGGCGGCUUCGGCAGCCCGAGUUGUAGUCUGGAGAAGCGUUUUCUGUGCCGGACCGUGUACAAGUCUCUUGGAACAGAGCGUCGUAGAGGGUGAGAAUCCCGUCUUUGACACGGACUGCCGGUGCUUUGUGAUGCGCUCUCGAAGAGUCGAGUUGUUUGGGAAUGCAGCUCAAAAUGGGUGGUAAAUUCCAUCUAAAGCUAAAUAUUGGCGAGAGACCGAUAGCGAACAAGUACCGUGAGGGAAAGAUGAAAAGCACUUUGGAAAGAGAGUUAAACAGUACGUGAAAUUGCUGAAAGGGAAACGCUUGAAGUCAGUCGCGUCCGCCGGAACUCAGCCUGGCUUUUGCUCGGUGUAUUUUCUGGUGGACGGGCCAGCAUCAAUUUCGAUCGUCGGACAAAGGCCUCGGGAAUGUGGCACCUUCGGGUGUGUUAUAGCCUGGGGUCGCAUACGACGGUUGGGAUUGAGGAUCUCAGCGCGCCUUUAUGGUCGGGGUUCGCCCACGUCCGCGCUUAGGAUGCUGGCGUAAUGGCUUUAAACGAC
This 598-nucleotide ribosomal RNA is filed under the name Steccherinum sp. 1 KUC20131001-16. RNAcentral describes it as "eukaryotic LSU rRNA". It matches the Rfam family "Eukaryotic large subunit ribosomal RNA", at positions 66 to 648 of the family's 3401-position model. Lineage: Eukaryota; Fungi; Basidiomycota; Agaricomycetes; Polyporales; Steccherinaceae. The record is from RNAcentral.